RNAcentral lists this transfer-messenger RNA (360 nucleotides) under Patescibacteria group. Its description in RNAcentral is "GWB1-39-12 sp000993405 Standard tmRNA". It matches the Rfam family "transfer-messenger RNA". From Rfam's summary of the family: Bacterial tmRNA, also known as 10Sa RNA or SsrA, is named for its dual tRNA and mRNA-like properties. The record is from RNAcentral.
GGGGACGAUCGGUUUCGACGGGAAAUGUACUUUAAAAUCUGCAAGCAAAGUUUGACCCACACUUUUCAAAAGAGGUCAAAAAGAAUAAUUGCUAACAAAAGCGAUUAUGACUUCGACUACGCUUAUUUAAGCUAAGUUGAAUGCUCACCGGCCUUGUUUCUCAACCGAGCUGGAUGGGUAUAAACCUGUUGAGAUGCGGAAAGUAUGAGUGGUUUUAUAUACUUUCCUAAGACUUAAAACCAAACUCUCAACUCUUUCUUUAGUUUUAAUGUUGAGAAUUAAAAAUUUAAGCUAAAUAAGCUUGUAGAAGAUUUUAAAUUCAUUUUUCGGACGAGGGUUCGAUUCCCUCCGUCUCCACCA